UACAGAGGUCCCAAGCGUUGUUCGGAUUCACUGGGCGUAAAGGGUGCGUAGGUGGUGAGGUAAGUCGGAUGUGAAAGCUCGGAGCUCAACUCCGAAAUGGCAUUGGAAACUACCUUGCUCGAGGGUUGGAGGGGGGACUGGAAUGCUUGGUGUAGCAGUGAAAUGCGUAGACAUCAAGCGGAACACCAGUGGCGAAGGCGAGUCCCUGGACAACUCCUGACACUGAGGCACGAAAGCUAGGGGAGCAAACAGG
Molecule: ribosomal RNA, 253 nt
Filed under: uncultured bacterium
Lineage: Bacteria
Description: partial 16S ribosomal RNA
Rfam family: Bacterial small subunit ribosomal RNA
Source: RNAcentral